AUUUUAUGAUGUCACAUCUACAAUAAGAUACUAUGAGAGAGAAAAAGAGAGACUACAUCCACAUAACUCUAAGCCAGCCGUAUUCUCCACGCCUGAUUCUGCUGUCUCUGCUCCAGCCAUUAAAGAAACUGGAAAUUCGGGAGGAAGCUGAGUCUGCCUUUCAUAGGUUGUUUGAUCAUCCAAACACAGAGGAAGUUUAAUAACCUAUUAAGAGAUAAAUCUCUUAUCUAAACUGUUGAAAAUAUUUCACACACAGUGAAUUUUACCCUAGAACAAUGAUACAAUUUGCAAACUCUAAAAGGUCAAUGGUGAAUCAAUUUUCCGAGCCUUAUAAUUGCUUUUGUUUGGCGGCUUUACAAAGUAUGCUUUUUUUGUAGUAACGAUUUACAUAAUUGCUUUAGAUAUUUUCAUUGCUCUAUUUAGUUCUUAGUUUUCCCUUUGUUUUACCUUAUAAUUUUCCUUAAUAUCUUCUUGCAAAUAACACUAUCUGAUACUUACACUGGGAUCAAGUUAGCAAAUACUCAUUCUGUAUUUACUAUCUCCAAGAAACAACGUUUUUAGUCCAAAAAUAAAAGACAACAUUGUAGACUCUA
Leopardus geoffroyi (Geoffroy's cat) is the source of this 593-nucleotide long non-coding RNA. RefSeq lists it as uncharacterized. NCBI's taxonomy places the organism in Eukaryota, Metazoa, Chordata, Mammalia, Carnivora, Felidae. The transcript has 2 exons. The record is from RefSeq and is a predicted model, not a curated record.